GCACUCCAAAACCUUAACCCCCGACCACUCUUCUACCUUUCCUCCCCUCCCGCCGCCGCCGCCGCCGCCCGUACGAGCGAGCAUGCCCAGCGCGUUCCACUCCCUCCGCCCCUCGCUCAUCAAGCGGAAGCACAAGCACAAAUCCACGCGCCGCGGCGGGAAGCGCCCCAAGAAGACCGGCGAGUCGACGAGCCCCGCCGCCGGAGGCGAAGACGCCUCCUUUGACCUGAAGGGCUCCGCCUCCGCGUCCACCGCGGCUGGGCGCGGCGGAGGAGGCAGCCUCGUCCAGCCGCUCGGGAACCUCCUCCUCGCGGCCGCCGGGCGCACCAACCUCCGGGACGCGAGCCUCGGCGGGCUUCGCCAGCUCCCCGACGACCUCCUCCUCGACGUCCUCGGCCUCCUGCCCGCCCGCGACCUCGCCGCGCUCUCCGCGGCCUCCAAGGCGCUCUACGUCAUCUCCUCCCACGAUCCGCUCUGGCGGGCCAUCGUCCUGGACGAGCUCGGCGGCGACUUCGCCUUCGCCGGCUCCUGGCGCGCCACCUACAUCGCCGCCGUGUCUGGCCGCCCCCAUCGCCCCCCGCGGGCCCUUGAGAUCAGCGGCUUCUACUCGGACUACCUCUUCCAGAGCUGGCUGUGCGCCAACAUGGAGAUGCGGGCCGAGUGGCUCGAGCGAGACACCAUUGACCGCCGCCGCGGCUUAUCGGUGGAGAAAUUCAUCGCAGAGCACGAGGAGCCGAACUGGCCGGUGCUGCUUGAGGGGUGCCUUGAUUCCUGGCCGGCGCUGCAGAAAUGGACGAGGGAGUAUCUGCUGGAAGUCUCAGCCGGCAAGGAGUUCGCCGUCGGUCCGGUGAGCAUGCCACUGGACAGGUACUUCCAGUACACCGACAAUGCGGAGGAGGAGAGGCCAUUGUACCUCUUCGACGCGAAAUUCGCCGACAAGGUUCCGGAGAUGGGGAGGGACUAUGAGGUGCCGGCGUACUUCCAGGAGGACCUGUUCAAGGUGCUCGGGGAGGAGAGGCCGGAUUACAGGUGGGUCAUCAUCGGUCCGGCUGGAUCAGGGUCAUCGUUCCAUGUAGAUCCUAACUCGACAUCGGCGUGGAAUGCUGUGAUCAAAGGGGCCAAGAAGUGGGUGAUGUUCCCGCCGGAGGUGCCGCCACCAGGGGUGCACCCAAGUUCGGAUGGGGCAGAGGUCACUAGCCCUGUGUCUAUCAUGGAGUGGUUCAUGAACUUCUACGGAGCCUGUAGGACCUGGGAGAAGAGGCCGAUUGAGUGUGUGUGCCGGGCUGGGGAGAUUGUGUUUGUGCCUAAUGGGUGGUGGCACCUGGUUAUCAAUCUUGAGGAGUCCAUUGCCAUCACUCAGAACUAUGUGAGCAGGAGGAACCUGUUGAAUGUUAUUGACUUUCUCAAGAGGCCCAAUGCAAGCGAGCUUGUGUCAGGGACCAAGGACAGGGUGAACCUGCACGACAAGUUCCGGAAGGCCAUUGACACAGCUUACCCUGGGACGAUUAGUCAGCUUGAAGUUGAAGCUCAGCAGAAGGCUGCUGCUCGGAAGAAGAAAGUCGCAUUCUGGGAUUCUGCUGUUGACGCUAACACUGGAGGAUUCAAGUUCUCCUUUUGAUUUUCUUGCAGCAGCUAGGUCUGUGGACUUAACAUUUUAUCUUCUCCUGUUUACAUGAGCAAUCACAUUCGAUUUGCUUUGAGAACCUGGGUUCAUGGGCCUUCGCAUUCAUCUGCUUGCAGUCAAGCAGAUUAUUUUGAUUGUACAAGGCUAUGAGCAUCCUAGAACUUGGAAGUUGGUCCCGGUUGUUAUUGUAAGGUUUGUACCAUGUAUUACAUCAUGCAAAUUUUGAUCUUUGAUCUUCAAAAAGUUGGGCUGAAAAUUGUUUGCAUAUUGCCAAGUUGACAGUGCACUAAGGUUAUAGCACAUUCAUGCUCAAGUAUGCGUCGGUACUUAUGUUCAUGCAUUGUAGAUCACUCGUACCGAACAUUACGGAUCACUCGUACCUUGAUAUCUCUGCGAACAUCAAUGUAAUAGUAGC
Molecule: ribosomal RNA, 2039 nt
Filed under: Triticum aestivum (bread wheat)
Lineage: Eukaryota; Viridiplantae; Streptophyta; Magnoliopsida; Poales; Poaceae
Description: partial small subunit ribosomal RNA
Source: RNAcentral